Molecule: ribosomal RNA, 490 nt
Filed under: uncultured bacterium
Lineage: Bacteria
Description: bacterial SSU rRNA
Rfam family: Bacterial small subunit ribosomal RNA
Source: RNAcentral
AACGAACGCUGGCGGCGUGGAUUAGGCAUGCAAGUCGUGCGUGAAAGUGGUAGCAAUACUGCGAGUAAAGCGGCGAACUGGUGAGUACAAGGUGAAUUACGUGCCCUUGAGUGGGGGAUAACCCGCCGAAAGGCGGGCUAAUACCGCACGGUUUCCGAAAGGAAUAAAGCAGCAAUGCGCUCGAGGAUCGGUUCACCUCCCAUUAGCUAGUUGGUGGGGUAAUGGCCCACCAAGGCUACGAUGGGUAGCUGGUCUGAGAGGAUGGUCAGCCACACUGGAACUGAGAUACGGUCCAGACUCCUACGGGGGGCAGCAGUCUAGAGGCUUCGUCAAUGCCCCGAAAGGGUGAACGAGCGACGCCGCGUGCGGGAUGAAGGCUUUCGGGUCGUAAACCGCUUUUGUUUGGGAAGAAUGCCUGUGUCGUGAACAUGGGAGGGACGGUACCAGACGAAUAAGCCUCGGCUAACUCCGUGCCAGCAGCCGCGGUAAU